Molecule: transfer RNA, 73 nt
Filed under: Capra hircus (goat)
Lineage: Eukaryota; Metazoa; Chordata; Mammalia; Artiodactyla; Bovidae
Also listed under: 1 other name
Rfam family: tRNA
About the family: Transfer RNA (tRNA) molecules are approximately 80 nucleotides in length. Their secondary structure includes four short double-helical elements and three loops (D, anti-codon, and T loops). Further hydrogen bonds mediate the characteristic L-shaped molecular structure. tRNAs have two regions of fundamental functional importance: the anti-codon, which is responsible for specific mRNA codon recognition, and the 3' end, to which the tRNAs corresponding amino acid is attached (by aminoacyl-tRNA synthetases). tRNAs cope with the degeneracy of the genetic code in two manners: having more than one tRNA (with a specific anti-codon) for a particular amino acid; and 'wobble' base-pairing, i.e. permitting non-standard base-pairing at the 3rd anti-codon position.
Source: Rfam by way of RNAcentral
UCCCUGGUGGUCUAGUGGUUAAGACUCCACGCUUUCACUGCCAAAGGCCUGGGUUCAAUCCCUAGUCGGGGAA